UGUGUGGUGGUAAACGGAGGGGUUCUCGAAGUCUCUGUGGGGAACUCAACCUUGGUGUCGAGCGGUCUGGGUGUAUCUGAUCAGCAAUGACUGUGCUCUCUGUCCGGCUUGGCUCUCGGGUGCAUUUCCCCCACAGUUUACGGCAGGAACCGUUUGGCUCGGACCGAAGGCCUCGUGUGAAGUUGUCGCUUCUGGUGGCAGCCUCGGGUGUCCUGGCUCUGAGCCCGACGGGUACGUGAGAGGACUCGUAUAGCGAGCAACGCUCUGUUGCGGUUCUCAUCUCUCUGCCGAGUAGGUCGGCGG
Molecule: ribosomal RNA, 303 nt
Filed under: uncultured eukaryote
Lineage: Eukaryota
Description: partial 28S ribosomal RNA
Source: RNAcentral